This 460-nucleotide ribosomal RNA is filed under the name uncultured bacterium. RNAcentral describes it as "partial 16S ribosomal RNA". It matches the Rfam family "Bacterial small subunit ribosomal RNA", at positions 338 to 795 of the family's 1533-position model. The record is from RNAcentral.
CCUACGAGAGGCUGCAGUGAGGAAUAUUGGUCAAUGGGCGCGAGCCUGAACCAGCCAAGUAGCGUGAAGGAUGACUGCCCUACGGGUUGUAAACUUCUUUUAUAAAGGAAUAAAGUGAGGCACGUGUGCCUUUUUGUAUGUACCUUAUGAAUAAGGAUCGGCUAACUCCGUGCCAGCAGCCGCGGUAAUACGGAGGAUCCGAGCGUUAUCCGGAUUUAUUGGGUUUAAAGGGAGCGUAGAUGGGCUGUUAAGUCAGCUGUGAAAGUCUGCGGCUCAACCGUAGAAUUGCCAUUGAUACUGGCAGUCUUGAGUAUAGUUGAGGUAGGCGGAAUGCGUGGUGUAGCGGUGAAAUGCUUAGAUAUCACGAAGAACUCCGAUUGCGAAGGCAGCUUACUAAGCUGCCACUGACGUUGAUGCACGAAAGUGUGGGUAUCAAACAGGAUUAGAUACCCCAGUAGUC